RNAcentral lists this ribosomal RNA (404 nucleotides) under Verrucomicrobiota bacterium. Its description in RNAcentral is "Verrucomicrobia bacterium partial 16S ribosomal RNA". It matches the Rfam family "Bacterial small subunit ribosomal RNA", at positions 355 to 776 of the family's 1533-position model. Lineage: Bacteria; Pseudomonadati; Verrucomicrobiota. The record is from RNAcentral.
UGGGGAAUAUUGGACAAUGGGCGCAAGCCUGAUCCAGCCAUGCCUCGUGAGUGAUGAAGGCCCUAGGGUUGUAAAGCUCUUUCACCGGUGAAGAUAAUGACGGUAACCGGAGAAGAAGCCCCGGCUAACUUCGUGCCAGCAGCCGCGGUAAUACGAAGGGGGCUAGCGUUGUUCGGAUUUACUGGGCGUAAAGCGCACGUAGGCGGACUUUUAAGUCAGGGGUGAAAUCCCGGGGCUCAACCCCGGAACUGCCUUUGAUACUGGAAGUCUUGAGUAUGGUAGAGGUGAGUGGAAGUCCGAGUGUAGAGGUGAAAUUCGUAGAUAUUCGGAGGAACACCAGUGGCGAAGGCGGCUCACUGGACCAUUACUGACGCUGAGGUGCGAAAGCGUGGGGAGCAAACAGG